This is a long non-coding RNA of Harpia harpyja (harpy eagle), 3585 nucleotides long. RefSeq lists it as uncharacterized. NCBI's taxonomy places the organism in Eukaryota, Metazoa, Chordata, Aves, Accipitriformes, Accipitridae. The transcript is spliced from 3 exons. The record is from RefSeq and is a predicted model, not a curated record.
AAGACCUACUUAGCAUUUAGUGGAAAUGCUCAAAGGAUGAUCACAGGGUGCUUCUUUUAAGUAAAUGGAACAGAACUGAUUUUUGAUGAUAUAUAUUUCUUGGUGGGUAUGCUUUUCUGGUUUCCAUGGGAUGAAGAGGAUGAAGAAUUCUCCAAGAUACCAAGAAGAGAAAUGCAAAGAAAAGAAAGAAUGAGUACAAGCCAGAUGGGCUUUUUAAAAAGUCAGCUGAAGAAAGCUAUAGGCCAUAGAAAGGUUGUAUAGAAAGGCCAUAGCUGACCUUCAUAUAGGUGAUAUUCCAGGAAGAGGCUAUCCUUGUCAGAGCUACAGAUAUAGUAGCGUGUUUGUCCGGAACCUCACUGCUCCUUUUUGAGAGUAUCCGCUCUGUUCAGAGUGCCCUCUGGAAGUCGGCAGGAGCUGGACAACACCAACUUCUCACGGGUGCUGUGGAGCAUGCUGACUGGCAUAGGAACUGCAGCUCCUUAGAGGAGGGAACCAGCCGAGGGGCAGCAUCUGGCUGCUGCGAUGGGUAGAGCCACAUGGAUCAUUCCCUGUCAUUUGCAACACGGAUCUGUCCACUCGUGGCUGAAGUAACAAGUCUCUGUUCUCCUCUCCAGGAAACAGCUUUCAGACAGUGACUCUUCUUCCUUACCUACUGUUUUAAAGCACAAAUGAUGGGUGGAUUUGCUUUCCGGCUUCAGAGCCAAUCACCACGCCAAACAACUCACGAAGUGUGCAGAUGAUGUUUAGGGAAGGCAGGUGAGGAAUGGUAACAAGUUAAUCUUAUGCAAAUAUGUGGCAACCGUCUUUAUUGUCUUACUUGAGCUCUGAAGCUUGAUCCUCUUCCAUUCAAGUAAAUGGAGGAAUCCAGGUGACUUUAAUGGAAAAGAACUGAGCCCCUUUUUCCCCACAAUAAACAAAGGAUUUUUUGUGUGCUUUUACCUGAGAUACACACUAACAUGCAUGCUGCAUUUCUGUGAUUCUGCUACUCAGCACAGGUCAUGGGAAAAACACACUCUUAGUUCUCCCUUUUGUGAGGAACAAACAUACACAAUCACAGCUUUGUAAUCAAGAUUGUGAAAUGAGGGCAGGCGGUGCACCUGCAGGAAGUUUCAGUAGUUGAUGGCUUAAGAUGUUCAUAAUACUUGCCUGUAUGUGUAUGUUGAUUUUCCUUUCAAACUCAGGAAAUAAAGGUGAGAAUCAUCCAGCCAAAUACGUCGAAUGAGAGACAAUAUCAGUAUAAAUAGGUCUUGCCCUAAAAACGUCUCCAUUGACUGUAAGGGCAGCCCAGGUCUGUUGUCAGAGAUGUCAGUGAAAUGAAUUCCACUCCAUAUGUGGAAAUGGGGUAAUUACAUGCCUAUAGUUACCAUUUAUGAAUUUCAGAGUUCCCUUGAAAACUCGAAUAGAGUUUUGCCAUACAUCAUUAAAACUCAACACCAAACAGGAGGAAGCCUCAUUUUAUUUCCCUCCUAGUGUGGAUUGUUUUUUUUCUCUUUGGAAUCUGCUUAUCCAAACCUAGUAUAAAUGAUUCAUCUCUAGUGCAACUGAAAAGUCACUGCAAAUAGCACCAGAGAGUAAUUUCAUAUCUUCAAAACAACUCUGUAGCACCAAGUUGUCUACAUUAUGUGUUUCUUAGGGGUGCUGCUGCUAUGCAGAUUUUUCAGUGCCACCACUUACUCCAAGUUACCAAAAAUUAGUGUUAUUCUAUACUACUAACAUAUGACUGAUAUAUACUUUUUUCCAAGAACUGACAGAGUUUACAUUUGCUUUAUUAUUCAGUUGUAAUUGUGAGAAAAAUUAUUGGUUAAACAAGAUAAACAGAUCCCUAGCCUCUCAACCAUCCUCUUCCCCAAAAUAAUAAACAAAAAUGUGACAUUUGCUCCAAAUUAAGGAGGGAUUUGGGGUGGAAGGCUCUUGUCAAAAUAUGAGCAGCAUCUGACUGAACAUAGUUUGUCUCCUAGACUGCAGCUAAAAUGCAAAAUACCAGAGGAUUUAGAAAAUGGGGCAAACAUUGGUUAGAUCGGCUUUCUUACUAGUGACAAAGUAUCUUUUGCCCAAUGUGAUUAAUCUCUGAGAGUGGUAUUUAAAACAAGUCGUUUUGCAGUCCACUUGGGCCUAACAAUUAAUGUUACUUGACCAUUAGUGACAGUUGAAACUUUAAAGGGCUGUAGGCUCAGAUGUCGGAGCUGAACAAUGCUUUUUUAGUUGCAGGAAUGUUACUGGAGGAAGAAAAUACCUAACUGGUAACCACUGGAACUCAAUCUCCCAUUGCCGUAGCAACAGGCAGUUGUGCUCAGAAAUUAUGAUGUGCCAUUUUCAAAAUCAGCCUACAACGUAUUUGAAACUAUUACCAGCUGAUCACAUGAAGAAUUACGGGAGAGAAGAGAGAAGGACACUGAAGUAGUUCAAGUGCUAAGACAGCAACCAAAACGACAGCUCGAGCCAGGUGGUUUGUCAGCCCCCCAUGCAUCCUUUACAAAGCUCUUGUGCAAAGCAGUCAGAGCUGUCGUAGCCAGUUCUGCGCAGAGCUACUCCCCACUCUGCACGCUGGUCUCCUCUGCCUAGCACAGGGGUCUGACACGGCUGGAAAGAUGUCACCGUGAGGAUAUUGCUGGAAGAAGGAUGGCAGAGGCUGGAAACCAGCGGGGUUUGCAAACUGUACUGUGCCUACACAUAGGCCAUGUGCCUGUCGCUCGACCAACAAGACAGACACUGCUAGUUUAGCAGACCUGGGGUCAUCACAGGAGCUUCAAAAGUACCAAGAGAGCAUGAGCAGAAGGAAGUGUUGGCUCUGGGCUGCUUGGGUAAGGGGAGCAUUAAUCAUGUUUUUUGAGUCUGAGAUGCAUCAACUUGAUGUUAUUUUGGGGAUCUCUGGCAGUGCUCUUGUGUCGCGUUUCACACCAGACAUGACUGUAGGGCAGCAGAGGGCUUAAUUCCACGGAGUCGAGCACGGUGAUGUGUUACUUGCUCGACAUACUAGGGGCAAGAACGCCACUGCCUACGAAAUUAAUUCGGUUUAUCAGCAUGGCUAGUGCUUUCGUGCAGGCAGCAGCAUCUUGCCCAGCAUCAGGGAGCGUCUGCCUAGCGUGGGCAGGUAACACUGGUGGCACUCGCUGGUCAGAGUGCCGGCCUUGCCCGAGGAGGUGCGGGUGAGCUGGGGAGAGCCGGGGUACGCCCUGCACGGCAGCGUGCGCCUAAGGGACCGCCGCGCUGGCGAAGCGUGGUGUUUGCGCUGUGUCAGGUUUUGUGCUGUCACUCGGAUACGCACCUGACUCUGCCGUCUUUGAUGUUUAACUUCUGCAAAGGAACGUGACAAGGUACUUCCGCCCGGCCUCUUGCUUCUUCCUGGAGCAGGGAAGGAAGGAAAGCAUUUCGGGCAGGGAUAGGCGCUCCGCCGGGCGAGUGCCUCCCCGACCGAGUCCGUACGUCAGGAGGCACCCUACAAGCCCAGUGGGCACGAGGAGAAGGGGGGCGCGUGGACGGCGCGUCCUGCCCGCCGGAGCAGCACUGCGUCCCCACGCGUGCUUUGCUCUUCCUGCAAACAACUCUGCUCCGCCAGGGGAGUUACCACGCAGCGGUAAGUUCUUC